AUUUCUGCAUCCAGCAGCCACAAUAGUCAUCGGUGUACUGCCACAGGAGGAGUUAUUUUACAGAGCAACCUGUUUUCUUCCUCGCAGGUUUAACGUCGAUUAUUUAAUUGUAUUAUUAUUCUCUAAAUUUGUAAUUUAGGACUCCGCAUGUGCUAGUAGUAGCAUUAAGCCUGUCAGGGACUGUAUGAAUUCAUGUUUGCGUAUUAAUAAAUGAAAAUAAAAAUUUUAUGAGUUUUAAA
Molecule: long non-coding RNA, 239 nt
Organism: Hevea brasiliensis (rubber tree)
Lineage: Eukaryota; Viridiplantae; Streptophyta; Magnoliopsida; Malpighiales; Euphorbiaceae
Exons: 2
Source: RefSeq, a predicted model, not a curated record